UAGUGCGGGAAAGUUAAAAGUUAAAAAAAUAAAAGAAAAGGAAACAAUAAAAAUAAAAAUCUUCAUCUGGAUUUUCUGGAAUUGAUCGAUGGCGAUGAUUUUGCUUGCUGUUUAUCUCAUUAAACUACAAGACAGAUCUGAACUGAACUGAACAAACUACUCUUCUUUCAUCCUAUCCAUGGCUACAACGAUCUCGGUCUCAGCCUCUCUCAAUCUCUUCUCAGAUUCACAACCAUACAAAAGACUGCCUUUAAUUCUUUCACCCCCAAAUCUACAACAACCUUUCCUUUCUCUCCACAAAUCUUGCUAUUUCAACUCCAGAUUCUGUUUCUCCUCAAACUGCUCCUCCUCCUCCUCCUCUUCAACAACAGCAACAGAAACAGAAACACCUAGUGCUUCCACCACCUACUCCUAUAUUGAGGAUUCAUAUAAAACAGGGAGGUUCUUGAGCAAUGAAGAGAUUGAAAAGCUAAAAGCACUUCAAGAUUUCAGAUACUAUCAACAACUUGAAACUGGGUCUAUGUUGGUUAGGAUGAUGAAGCCGGGGGAGAUGGAUAUCACUGUUAAAUUGCUAGCAGAGUCAUUUGUUGAGUCCAUGUCGUUGCCUGUUGGUUAUGUGUCUUUGGUUUGCUACUUUGUGCAGCAGUACUUGACUGAAAGGCGAGCUGCAGUACCACAUGCCGUUACGCUUAUUGGGUUUUAUAAAGGGAAACAAGAGACGAAUGGUGGAGAAGAGGAGGAGGACCUCGAAGAGUUGGCAGGGACUGUAGAGGUUUGUUUUGACAAAAGGGGUGCUAAUGCUUCUCCUCCUACACCUACCCCUCCAAAAAAUGCUCCUUACAUUUGCAACAUGGCUGUUAAGCAGUCACAUCGUAGGAGGGGAAUUGGGUGGAAUCUUCUGAAGGCAAGCGAGGAACUAAUUACCAAGAUGAGUAGUAUGCGAGACGUGUACUUGCACUGCAGAAUGAUUGAUUCAGCCCCUUUCAACAUGUACACAAAAGCAGGUUACAACAUCGUUAAAACUGAUAGCAUAUGGGUCCUUUUGAUGUUGCAGAGGCGCAAACAUUUGAUGUGCAAGAAACUUUUAGUCUCAAAGAAUCCUUCAGAACUCAAUACUUCAGGCUCCGAUAUGGAAUUUUCUUCACAAAUGGAUACAUGGAAGUCAUGACACCUGUUUCCAAGAUUUGGAUUCUGGUCCAGGUCCUUCAGGGUAUAUAGUCUGGCCAGGUUGUGGUGAUCAUCCAAUUAGGUUGGUUUAGGCCUGGAAUUUGAUCUGAUGGUCCAGCAUCUCCUUGCUUGUAAUUUAUCAUAUUCAUGGCGUAAACAUAUUGUGUUACAGAUUCCCAUGUUGCAGAUACUCAUACACUAGAAACCUGUCCUUCCCAUCAGCACAAUAUCCAAUCAAGGAAACCAGAUUGGGGUGCUCAAGUCUGCUCAAGAUGUCAACUUCUACACGAAACUCCCGUUCCCCUUCAGCUUCUUUAAAUGUCGGCAGCUCCAUUUUCUUGAUUGCUACAACCUACAGAUUAGAGAAGAGGAGCAAUUUUGUAUGUUUUUCGAAAACUAGAGUGUCAUGUUUUACUGCUCUUUGUUCUGGUAUUUUACAUAAUAUAGGAACUAAAAUCGCUGCAAGUUUUUUAGAAUUAAAAUUGAAUGCAUUAGCUUUAUGUCUAUUUGGGAAA
RNA transcript from Populus nigra (black poplar), 1682 nucleotides. It is a transcript of the gene named GCN5-related N-acetyltransferase 5, chloroplastic-like, with no coding region annotated. NCBI's taxonomy places the organism in Eukaryota, Viridiplantae, Streptophyta, Magnoliopsida, Malpighiales, Salicaceae. The transcript is spliced from 4 exons. The record is from RefSeq and is a predicted model, not a curated record.